GAGAAUGACGUGUGCUGGUGCAGAGGGGGUGGGGGUCUGCGGGCCUGGAUCUGUGGACGGGCUCCUAAUCCUCUUGUUUUCGGAACCGUCAGCAGAUGCGGCUUCCUUUACCUGAAUAAUCCUUUAAAGGAGUAAUAAUUUUUAAAAAGGAGCUCGACCUCAGCCAAAGAGGACGGCGCACGAGAUUAGGGCUUGUAGAUCCACUGCCUUUGGUUGGGCCGGCUGAAUCGCUGGGGACUGCGGCCAGUCUCUUAAAAAAGGAGAACAAAAAGCCGAAGACCUUGUGUGGCCGCCGGGACAAAGCACCUUGGGUUCGGCGAGAAGGGACGCGCAGGAGCGCUGAACCCAGAACACGCGUGGCCGCUGCGGAAGGGCGUCCGCCCGGCGUGCGGAACGCUGAGGCCGCAUUAUACACGAGUGACCUUUUAAAUCUACGUCCACCCUUUACCUGCGAGAGGACUGCAGCAGGCGAGUUCCGGAAGGCUGAAUCCCCAGGUCCCAGCCCCGGACCGCGGCAACUCGCCCCUGCGGCACGCCCGGCCCGGCUGCGCCCCCACUCAGCGAUGGAGAAACAGCCCAGAUCUCCUCUUAAGCGGAAAAGAGAUUGACCUUCUAGCAGAGGCAAAGAAUGGAGUCUUCUGGGGGCAGCUGCAAAGCGUUCUCCCUAGGACAGAUGGAGCCUCCCUUUCCUCAUCUACUCUGUGGGUGGUUUCAGGGCCCACGAGUCAACAUGAGGAGUUGUGCUGGUGGUAUGUGUGUUGGAGGCUGGGCUGGCUGAUUCACAGUGACGAGGAUGUCAAUAAUAACAAGAAUGAGAAUGAUGGUACCUAAUAAAGACUUUUUUUCCCAA
This 850-nucleotide long non-coding RNA is filed under the name Homo sapiens (human). RNAcentral describes it as "MIR124-1 host gene". Lineage: Eukaryota; Metazoa; Chordata; Mammalia; Primates; Hominidae. The record is from RNAcentral.